AUCUAUCAGAUUGUAUCUUCCAAGUAGGGAUCCCCAGCAUAAUUCAAACUCCGCAAUUGUCUCAGUCAAGUUGACACAUUUCUGAAAUUCUGCUUCAAAAGUGGGGAAUGACUGGAUUGAGUGUGAGAGCCUCUCCUGUGCUUCUCUAAAAAUAUUGGAUUUGCAGAAGCGGUGGCGAGCGCCUGGAAAUACGUCUAAUAUGGCUGACCUGAUGAUCCUAUCAUGAUCUGAAGUUAUAGAAAUAGGAUGGCAACCAGACAUUGCAGCAAGCCAAUUUUCGAAUAGCCAAAUGAAUGAUGACUCUGAUUCAUUGAGAAGCAGGGCACAGCCAAAUAAAACAGGUUGACAAUGAUGGUUUACUCCUAUAAAUGGUGCAAAAGGCACCCGGUAUCGGUGAGUCCUAUAGGUGGUAUCAAAUGUAACUGUAUCUCCAA
This 434-nucleotide unclassified non-coding RNA is filed under the name Hevea brasiliensis (rubber tree). The record is from RNAcentral. Lineage: Eukaryota; Viridiplantae; Streptophyta; Magnoliopsida; Malpighiales; Euphorbiaceae.